RNAcentral lists this ribosomal RNA (544 nucleotides) under uncultured bacterium. Its description in RNAcentral is "bacterial SSU rRNA". It matches the Rfam family "Bacterial small subunit ribosomal RNA", at positions 772 to 1316 of the family's 1533-position model. The record is from RNAcentral.
ACUCAAUAGAUACCCCGGUAGUCCACACCGUAAACGAUGGAUACUUGUUGUUGGAGGUAUUGACCCCUUCAGUGACGCAGUUAAACACGGUAAGUAUCCCGCCUGGGGAGUACGGUCGCAAGAUUAAAACUCAAAGAAAUUGACGGGGGCCCGCACAAGCGGUGGAGUAUGUGGUUUAAUUCGAUGCAACGCGAAGAACCUUACCUACUUUUGACAUGUACUGGAAGACUGGCAGAGAUGUCGUCGCCCGCAAGGGCCGGUACACAGGUGCUGCAUGGCUGUCGUCAGCUCGUGUCGUGAGAUGUUGGGUUAAGUCCCGCAACGAGCGCAACCCUUGCUUUUAGUUGCCAGCAUUUAGUUGGGCACUCUAAAAGGACUGCCGACGUUAAGUCGGAGGAAGGUGGGGAUGACGUCAAGUCCUCAUGGCCCUUAUAAGUAGGGCUACACACGUACUACAAUGGUAACUACAGACGGAUGCUAAGCAGCGAUGUGGAGCAAAUCCUAAAAAAGUUAUCUCAGUUCAGAUUGGAGUCUGCAACUCGAC